UGCCUAUAUAUACUCAAAAAUAAUCUUAAUAAACUUAGUGUUAGAUCGACUUUCAUUGGGUUUGGUUUUCCUCAUAACCUUCCCUUACAUGUCAUCUCUCACUCA
Long non-coding RNA from Melitaea cinxia (Glanville fritillary), 105 nucleotides. RefSeq lists it as uncharacterized. The record is from RefSeq and is a predicted model, not a curated record. The transcript has 2 exons. Lineage: Eukaryota; Metazoa; Arthropoda; Insecta; Lepidoptera; Nymphalidae.